UGAGCAUUUUAAAGGCCAAGGUAAUAAUGU
Molecule: non-coding RNA, 30 nt
Filed under: Mus musculus (house mouse)
Lineage: Eukaryota; Metazoa; Chordata; Mammalia; Rodentia; Muridae
Source: RNAcentral